CUCGGCCCCACCCACCACCAGAGAGAUGAUGCUGAGGGUGAUGAUGCUGAUGUGACGGCGCGCUCAGCCAAUCGUCGGGCGGAGGGGAAGCGGAAGGGGGCGUCGCCGGAGCCCGGAGCUGGUCGAUGCUGGGAGGACUGAGAGGAAGGAGAAGAGGAAGAGAGGGAGGAUGAGGAGAAUGGGUGAGGCCCGUCCGACCCGAGGAGCGCCGACGCUGGCUUAAGAAAGGAGGACAAGAAGAGGAGGAGGAGGAGGAGGAGGAGGAAGAAGGAGGGGGGAGGAGGAGGAGGGAGCUGUUGCUUGUCGGAGGGGUCAACCUGAGCCGUCAUGGACAAAUAUCGACCGAAGAGACCCACCAGCCUGGCUCUGUUCCCACAGCUGCCCCAAGCUGGCACACAGGACUCUAUCAACAACAACUCCUUGGGGAAGAAGGACAGCUGGAAGGAUUCCAGAUCUUCCUCCCCGCUCAUCACAGGAGAUCUAACACCUCCGGAUGUCAGGCCGAAAGCAGAGGACAAAGUCCGGCAUGGUGCUCAGCGCCGGCCGGCACCAAAACCGCCCUCUGGCGCUGGAUCCAACGUCAGAUCCAGCGCUCAGGCCACCGCCCCCUCGACAGACGCACGAGCUCGGACGCGAGAGCGGCCGGCCCCGGGGCCACCACAGACCUCCAACACGCCGAGGAGUCAGCGGAGAGCAGCAGCAGGAGGAGCAGGAAGAGGAGCCGCCACGAUGAGAGAGAAAAACUUGGGGGAACUCAAAGGGAAGGAGGGAUCGACGGACAGAAGAGGGGGUCGACUGUGUGAGGAGAGCAGGAACAAGGACAAGGACCGCAGUCAGAAGCAGAGGGAGGCCAACACGCUGAAGGGCAGGGGGACUGAUGGCAGAGGAAGAGGAGCCUCCAAAGGGAGCAGCAAAGGAGGCGUCAAGCCGAACAACAAACUGACCAAUAAGGAGGUGUACCUGCCGUCCAUGGUGGUCCCACGCACACCUGUGACCCAGAGAAAGCAGGAGAAGAAGCAGGACCAAGGCCAAAACCAUGACAGGACCCAGGACCCCCCUGUGCUGUCUCGGUCCAGCAGUGAGGGGGGGUCCAACAGGAUGUCCCUGAGCUCAGACACAGAGGGUCCCCCUCCUGGACCGCCGCAGCCCCCUCUGUCCAACAUCACCAACCCGGACAUCAGCGAGGAGGACGGAGAAGGGGAUCCGACCCCGUGCCUGCAGAACGGUCCGACCCGCAGCUUUGCGGCAGACGACGGAACCACGCCGAGAUGCGAGGCGGAGGGAGGCGGCGCCGCGAAGCAGGCCGAGGUCCGGACGGAGGCCGCGGCCGGGCUCUGCUACGACUCCGUCAAGUACACGCUGGUGGUGGACGAGUGCGAUCAGCUGGAGCUCGUCAGCCUGAGGGACUGCACGCGCAAGAACGAAGACAGCGAUGCUGAGACUGUGUACCAGUCAGCCAAUGAGGAGGAAGACCCAGACUAUGAGGUGGAGAGGAAGAGGAGCGAGGAAGCAAGGAAACAAGGUACGAGUCUGACAAAAGUGAUGAGACUUUUGCUUUUGAAUGAAGAAAUAUUAGUGAAGUUGGUUGGAGAUUGGAUAUUCAAAAGAUAAAAGAUAACACUUUA
This is a long non-coding RNA of Oryzias javanicus (javanese ricefish), 1625 nucleotides long. The record is from Ensembl. NCBI's taxonomy places the organism in Eukaryota, Metazoa, Chordata, Actinopteri, Beloniformes, Adrianichthyidae.